GAAAAGGACUUGCACGUCUGAUCUUAGUGAUCAUAUUAAUGACACAAACAAACACUAUCCAAAGCUAGUGAUCAUUGCAGAAAUCAUAUCUUUGUUCGCACACAACACAAACACAUUCCUCACGCAUCAUUGGCCAUGGACACACAAGCCAUAAGUGACAGUCUCAGAAAAGCAAUUCCACCCAGUAAAAUGUUAAAGAAGAAACACAAAUCAAACUAAAAAAAAAAACCUUAAAUGAUUUCCAACUUAUCAAAAACCCAAAUUCUAAAUCCAAA
This 275-nucleotide unclassified non-coding RNA is filed under the name Hevea brasiliensis (rubber tree). Lineage: Eukaryota; Viridiplantae; Streptophyta; Magnoliopsida; Malpighiales; Euphorbiaceae. The record is from RNAcentral.